CACACGACUCUCGGCAACGGAUAUCUCGGCUCUCGCAUCGAUGAAGAACGUAGCAAAAUGCGAUACCUGGUGUGAAUUGCAGAAUCCCGCGAACCAUCGAGUUUUUGAACGCAAGUUGCGCCCGAGGCCUUCCGGCUGAGGGCACGCCUGCCUGGGUGUCACGC
RNAcentral lists this ribosomal RNA (164 nucleotides) under Oedochloa cordata. RNAcentral's name for it is "5.8S ribosomal RNA". It matches the Rfam family "5.8S ribosomal RNA". Rfam says of the family: 5.8S ribosomal RNA (5.8S rRNA) is a component of the large subunit of the eukaryotic ribosome. Lineage: Eukaryota; Viridiplantae; Streptophyta; Magnoliopsida; Poales; Poaceae. The record is from RNAcentral.